Molecule: ribosomal RNA, 425 nt
Filed under: uncultured bacterium
Lineage: Bacteria
Description: partial 16S ribosomal RNA
Rfam family: Bacterial small subunit ribosomal RNA
Source: RNAcentral
GUGGGGAAUAUUGGACAAUGGGCGCAAGCCUGAUCCAGCCAUGCCGCGUGAGUGAUGAAGGCCUUAGGGUUGUAAAAUUCUUUCACCGGGGACGAUAAUGACGGUACCCGGAGAAGAAGCUCCGGCUAACUUCGUGCCAGCAGCCGCGGUAAUACGAAGGGGGCUAGCGUUGCUCGGAAUUACUGGGCGUAAAGGGCGCGUAGGCGGACAGCUUAGUCAGAGGUGAAAGCCCAGGGCUCAACCUUGGAAUUGCCUUUGAUACUGGCUGUCUUGAGUUUGGGAGAGGUGAGUGGAACUCCGAGUGUAGAGGUGAAAUUCGUAGAUAUUCGGAAGAACACCAGUGGCGAAGGCGACUCACUGGCCCAAUACUGACGCUGAGGCGCGAAAGCGUGGGGAGCAAACAGGAUUAGAUACCCUAGUAGUCC